GAGUGAAGUGUAAUGGAGUUUUAGAACCUGCACUUAAGUCUUAAGUAAUUGAAAGACAAAAUAAUUAAGUCAAGCACUAUUCCUCCUGUCUAUACUUCACCUUUGUUCCAGAGUUUUUCAUAAGUUUUUAAAAUAAAACUCAGAGUUCCCAGCAAUGAUCUCUCAAGUCUCUCUAUAUGUGGUAUUUGUGGAUCCUUACCAUAAUGUCACUUACCUAUAGCUAAUGGAAUAUUUAAGUGGAGCUCAUAGGAGUGAAAAACAGCUCAUACAUAUGUUGUCUAAUCGAGCCAUGAAUCCAAAGGAACUCAGCAUAUAAUUAAAUCAAGUUGUGCAUGUGUGGUGGAGUAAAAGAUAGUGAUGGUAAAAAUGUAUAACUAAUAAUAAAACUUGGUUCUCAUUGCUCCUCAUAUUGCUAUCUGUCCUCCUCUUGAUCUUUGCAUUGGGAGAACUUGGGCUAUCUUUUUCUCUUUUUCUUCUUUUUUUCAGGUGGGUAGUAGAUACCCCUAAUUCUACUGUCGGACACUUGUCCAUUUUUUCCGCUCAAGUGGGCGUCUUUGUACCCCUAAUUUUACUUCGGACACUUGUUCAUUUUUACCUCUCAUCUCACUCUUUUUCUUUCUUUUUCGAGGUUCCGGGCACUUGCCCCUUUUUAUUUCUUCACAUAUUUUUGCAUAACCCAUGCCUCUUCUGCAUUGAAUCUUUUUAGAGAGAGAGAAUAACAAUAUUUGGGACAGUGAGUGAUAAUAUUUUUAGCAAUUUUAAUGAAUUGUGAUGGAUGGUGUAGUAGAUGUGUGCAAGCGAAUAUCUUAAUUUAACCACAUGAAAAGCUCCUAAGGGUCUACACAGCUCGAUCAAACUCAAUGUAAAUAUAGUAAAAGAUGUUAUAGCAAGUAAGGCUGUGGUAGGUAGUCUGUAAUGCUAGGAACUCAUCAUGUGCUUUGUAAGUUUUCAAAAUAAAUCUGUAGAACUUAGUGUAGUAGGAACAAGAUAAACAGCAGCUCAAACUUUAUAUUAUGCCUUUCUCUUACCUAGACUUUAGUUUUAUGCUUCCCAAAGAUAGUAAUUUCAGUUUUAGUAAUUCCUGGAAGAACUCUAAUAUAAAAGCU
RNAcentral lists this long non-coding RNA (1106 nucleotides) under Sorghum bicolor (sorghum). RNAcentral's name for it is "long non-coding RNA (SBIC_LNC010389)". The record is from RNAcentral. Lineage: Eukaryota; Viridiplantae; Streptophyta; Magnoliopsida; Poales; Poaceae.